AUUGAACGCUGGCGGAAUGCUUUACACAUGCAAGUCGAACGGUAGAGGGGGCAACCCCUCGAGAGUGGCGAACGGGUGAGUAAUAUAUCGGAACGUGCCCAGUCGUGGGGGAUAACGUAGCGAAAGUUACGCUAAUACCGCAUACGAUCUAAGGAUGAAAGCAGGGGAUCGCAAGACCUCGCGCGAUUGGAGCGGACGAUAUCAGAUUAGGUAGUUGGUGGGGUAAAGGCUCACCAAGCAAACGAUCUGUAGCUGGUCUGAGAGGACGACCAGCCACACUGGAACUGAGACACGGUCCAGACUCCUACGGGAGGCAGCAGUGGGGAAUUUUGGACAAUGGACGCAAGUCUGAUCCAGCCAUUCCGCGUGCAGGAUGAAGGCCCUCGGGUUGUAAACUGCUUUUGUACGGAACAAAAAGGUCUCUCUUAAUACGGGGGGCUCAUGACGGUACCGUAAGAAUAAGCACAGGCUAACUACGUGCCAGCCGCCGCAGUAA
RNAcentral lists this ribosomal RNA (496 nucleotides) under uncultured bacterium. Its description in RNAcentral is "partial 16S ribosomal RNA". It matches the Rfam family "Bacterial small subunit ribosomal RNA", at positions 30 to 523 of the family's 1533-position model. The record is from RNAcentral.